ACGGAGGGGGCUAGCGUUGUUCGGAAUUACUGGGCGUAAAGCGCACGUAGGCGGCUUUGCAAGUUAGAGGUGAAAGCCCGGAGCUCAACUCCGGAAUUGCCUUUAAAACUGCAUCGCUAGAAUUGUGGAGAGGUGAGUGGAAUUCCGAGUGUAGAGGUGAAAUUCGUAGAUAUUCGGAAGAACACCAGUGGCGAAGGCGACUCACUGGACAGUUUCUGACGCUGCAGCGCGAAAGCGUGGGGAUCAAACAGGA
RNAcentral lists this ribosomal RNA (253 nucleotides) under uncultured prokaryote. RNAcentral describes it as "partial 16S ribosomal RNA". It matches the Rfam family "Bacterial small subunit ribosomal RNA", at positions 525 to 777 of the family's 1533-position model. The record is from RNAcentral.